RNAcentral lists this transfer RNA (56 nucleotides) under Strongyloides sp. EN-2020b. RNAcentral describes it as "tRNA-Glu". The record is from RNAcentral. Lineage: Eukaryota; Metazoa; Nematoda; Chromadorea; Rhabditida; Strongyloididae.
GAGGUAUUAGUAUAUUUGAGUAUUGCUCUUUUUCGCAGAGUAGGAUUUAUACCUUU